RNAcentral lists this non-coding RNA (519 nucleotides) under Tribolium castaneum (red flour beetle). RNAcentral describes it as "Eukaryotic large subunit ribosomal RNA". It matches the Rfam family "Eukaryotic large subunit ribosomal RNA", at positions 1456 to 1888 of the family's 3401-position model. Lineage: Eukaryota; Metazoa; Arthropoda; Insecta; Coleoptera; Tenebrionidae. The record is from Rfam by way of RNAcentral.
GGUAGUAGCAAAUACUCCAGCGAGGCCCUGGAGGACUGACGUGGAGAAGCGUUUCGUGUGAACAGCCGUUGCACACGAGUCAGUCGAUCCUAAGCCCUAGGCGAAAGCCGAUGUUGAUGUGGUGUAGAUAUGUCGUUGGUUCGUUUUUAAUUCGAACGUAAACGUACGAAGUGAGCACACACCCAUUGGGCGAAAGGGAAUCCGGUUCCUAUUCCGGAACCCGGCAGCGGAACCGUUAAUAAUUCGGGCCCUCGCAAGAGAGUUCGUCGGGGCAACCCAAAAGGACCCGGAGACGCCGUCGGGAGAUCCGGGAAGAGUUUUCUUUUCUGCAUGAGCGUUCGAGUUCCAUGGAAUCCUCUAGCAUGGAGAUAUGGUUUGGAACACGAAGAGCACCGCAGUUGCGGCGGUGUCCGGAUCUUCCCCUCGGACCUUGAAAAUCCGGGAGAGGGCCACGUCGAGGCGUCGCGCCGGUUCGUACCCAUAUCCGCAGCAGGUCUCCAACGUGAAGAGCCUCUAGUC